This is a long non-coding RNA of Nannospalax galili (Upper Galilee mountains blind mole rat), 544 nucleotides long. RefSeq lists it as uncharacterized. The record is from RefSeq and is a predicted model, not a curated record. Lineage: Eukaryota; Metazoa; Chordata; Mammalia; Rodentia; Spalacidae. The transcript has 3 exons.
GAUCAGUCUUUCCAAAAUGAGCAUGAGGCCCGUUUCCUUUAUUUGGCGACAUCGCUUUAGCAGUUCUCCCCAGGGCUCUCUCCUUGUUUCUUCCAGCCUCUGCUGCACCAAGUGUUCCUUGUCCGUGACAGUAUAAUUCCAGCUUCUGCCGGUGUCUUAUAGACCUACUUCCUGCAUCUUUGUCAUUGGACAGUGUUGCUGGACUUAGUGUCUGCCUUAGUCAAUAAUAUCAUCUCAAGAUUCUUAAUUGUAUCUACAAACACCUUUUUUCCAAAGGUCACAUUCAUAGGUUCCAAAUGGACACAUCUUUUAGGAGAAUAUGACUGUAGAAUCCCAGUUUAUCAAUCACCUGGUGAUAGACGUCUGAACUGUUUGGGGGAAUUACUGUGAAUGAAGAACUAUCCAUUUACAAGGCUGAGGCUCUUCAUAUAUAUAUAUCCUCCAGAGAAAAAUGGCUCUUCCUCUCCCAUCAACGAUCAGCUGCCAAUAGCUCCUCAUCUGAGGGGAGGCCAUGGAGACCCCACCAGAUGGACUUGAACCAGUG